RNAcentral lists this microRNA precursor (90 nucleotides) under Leersia perrieri. RNAcentral's name for it is "MIR2275 microRNA precursor family". It matches the Rfam family "MIR2275 microRNA precursor family". The record is from Rfam by way of RNAcentral. Lineage: Eukaryota; Viridiplantae; Streptophyta; Magnoliopsida; Poales; Poaceae.
CAGUUGAAUUUGAGAUCUGGAUGGGACCAAAUCUUAUUGCAGAUCGCGUGAGACAAGAUUUGGCUCUCUCCAGUAUCUCAUGUUCACUUG